CCCUUAGAUGUUCUGGGCCGCACGCGCGCCACACUGAUGCAUUCAACGAGCCUAUCCUUGACCGGCAGGUCCGGGUAAUCUUUGAAUCUGCAUCGUGACGGGGAUAGAUUAUUGCAAUUAUUAAUCUUCAACGAGGAAUGCCUAGUAGGCGCAAGUCAUCAGCUUGCGUCGAUUACGUCCCUGCCCUUUGUACACACCGCUCGUCGCUCCUACCGAUUGGGUGUGCUGGUGAAAUGUUCGGAUCGGCCGUUUGUCGCGGUUUCCGCGGCUCGUGGCUGAGAAGUUCAUUAAACCCUCCCACCUAGAGGAAGGAGAAGUCGUAACA
Molecule: ribosomal RNA, 325 nt
Filed under: uncultured eukaryote
Lineage: Eukaryota
Description: partial 18S ribosomal RNA
Rfam family: Eukaryotic small subunit ribosomal RNA
Source: RNAcentral